Molecule: ribosomal RNA, 822 nt
Filed under: Triticum aestivum (bread wheat)
Lineage: Eukaryota; Viridiplantae; Streptophyta; Magnoliopsida; Poales; Poaceae
Description: partial small subunit ribosomal RNA
Source: RNAcentral
AUGGCGCUCGCAGCAGCAACCCUUGCCUCCUCUCCGUGCGUAUCUAUCUCCGUUUCCGCCGCUGGGAUGAACAGCAGCGGCCUGUCAGUGUCGUUGGGGGCGCGCCGUGUGCCGGGGAUUUCUGUGCAAAUUCAUUCCCAGCGGAGGAGGAUGGUCGCAGCGGCGGCAGCGGCGAGAGGGGACGAAGGGGCCGGUAAGACCUUCGUGGAGGAGAUGAGGGCUGCGGCGAUGCGGAUGCACACCAAGGACCAGGCCAGCGAAGGGGAGAAGGAGCUUGAGGGACCGUCACUGAACGAGCUGGAGCCUAACCUUGAGGCCUACCUGCGCUUCCUCGUCGACAGCAAGCUCAUCUUCCAGACGCUCGAGAACAUCGUCGACCGCGCCGCCGUCCCAUGGUAUGCGGAGUUUCAGAAUACUGGGUUAGAGAGAUCAGAGGCACUGAAGAAAGAUCUGAAAUGGUUCAGCGAACAGGGUCACACAAUUCCAGAACCAUCUGCUUCAGACACUAAAUAUGCUUCUUAUCUGGAAGAGUUGUCUGAGAAGGACCAGCAAGCAUUUUUCUGUCACUUCUAUAAUAUGUACUUUGGUCAAUCUGCUGGAGGUCGACUGACCGGCAAAAAGAUUGCUGACAAGAUUCUGAACAAGAAAGAGCUGGAAUUCUACAAGUGGGAAGGUACCCUGUCCGAGCUGCUGCAGAAUGUCCGCACAAAACUUAACCAAGUUGCUUCUAGCUGGACCCGGGAAGAGAAGAACCGCUGCCUUGAGGAGACUGUGACGUCGUUCGCCUAUUCAGUAGAUCGUCUGCGCAAGAUAUUCACCUGA